UAGCACUGCAACAUCAAUAUUUGCGACUCUUCUUGGACUAUCAACCUGUAAAUAAAUAAUUUUCAUAAUUAUUUAUUUGGAAAAAGCAUCUAGAGCACUUGACUGCAAUAACUCGAAUGACUUUAACUACUAUCAAACCACCCGUGCAUGAAAUUCUUCCCGCAUACUUUAUAUAUCCAAUCAAACAGACCUUUCUAUAAAUAGCAUAAACACAUGUUCCUUACCAA
This 227-nucleotide long non-coding RNA is filed under the name Mytilus galloprovincialis (Mediterranean mussel). Lineage: Eukaryota; Metazoa; Mollusca; Bivalvia; Mytilida; Mytilidae. The record is from RNAcentral.